Oncorhynchus tshawytscha (Chinook salmon) is the source of this 643-nucleotide long non-coding RNA. The record is from Ensembl. NCBI's taxonomy places the organism in Eukaryota, Metazoa, Chordata, Actinopteri, Salmoniformes, Salmonidae.
AGGGGGAUAGAGAGGUAGAGGGAGAGAGGGAUAGAGGGAGAGAGAGAUAGAGAGGUAGAGGGAUAGAGAGUGAGAGGGAGAGAGGGAUAGAGAGGUAGAGGGAGAGAGGGAGAGAGGGAGAGAGGGAUAGAGAGGAGAGGGAGAGGGAGAGAGGGAGAGAGGGAUAGAGAGGUAGAGGGAGAGAGGGAGAGAGGGAUAGAGAGGUAGAGGGAGAGAGAGUGAAAGGGAGAGAGAGAGAGGGAUAGAGAGGUAGAGAGAGAGAGGUAGAGGGAUAGAGAGUGAAAGGGAGAGAGGGAUAGAGAGGUAGAGGGAGAGAGGGAGCGAUGGAGAGGGGGAUAGAGAGGUAGAGGGAGAGAGGGAUAGAGAGGUAGAGAGGGAUAGAGAUAGAGAUAGAGGGAGAGAGAGAGAGGGAUAGAGAGGGAGAGAGGGAUAGAGAGGUAGAGGGAGAGAGGGAGAGAGGGAUAGAGAGGUAGAGGGAGAGAGGGAGAGAGGGAUAGAGAGGUAGAGGGAGAGAGGGAGAGAGGGAUAGAGAGAUAGAGGGAGAGAGGGAGAGAGGGAUAGAGAGGUAGAGGGAGAGAGGGAGAGAGGGAUAGAGGGAUAGAGGGAGAGGGAGAGAGGGGGAGAGAGGUAGAGGGAUAGAGAG